This 582-nucleotide ribosomal RNA is filed under the name Paeniglutamicibacter sulfureus. RNAcentral describes it as "bacterial SSU rRNA". It matches the Rfam family "Bacterial small subunit ribosomal RNA", at positions 980 to 1430 of the family's 1533-position model. The record is from RNAcentral. Lineage: Bacteria; Bacillati; Actinomycetota; Actinomycetes; Micrococcales; Micrococcaceae.
CUUGCACAGAAUGAUUAGUGGCGAACGGGUGAGUAACACGUGAGUAACCUGCCCCUGACUCUGGGAUAAGCCUGGGAAACUGGGUCUAAUACCGGAUAUGCACCGUGGACCGCAUGGUUUUUGGUGGAAAGAUUUUUUGGUCAGGGAUGGACUCGCGGCCUAUCAGCUUGUUGGUGAGGUAAUGGCAGGUGGUGCAUGGUUGUCGUCAGCUCGUGUCGUGAGAUGUUGGGUUAAGUCCCGCAACGAGCGCAACCCUCGUUCCAUGUUGCCAGCGGGUAAAGCCGGGGACUCAUGGGAGACUGCCGGGGUCAACUCGGAGGAAGGUGGGGACGACGUCAAAUCAUCAUGCCCCUUAUGUCUUGGGCUUCACGCAUGCUACAAUGGCCGGUACAAUGGGUUGCGAUACUGUGAGGUGGAGCUAAUCCCAAAAAGCCGGUCUCAGUUCGGAUUGGGGUCUGCAACUCGACCCCAUGAAGUCGGAGUCGCUAGUAAUCGCAGAUCAGCAACGCUGCGGUGAAUACGUUCCCGGGCCUUGUACACACCGCCCGUCAAGUCACGAAAGUUGGUAACACCCGAAGCCGG